UUCUUUUGUCUCUUGAGAUUUUACCACUGAUGUCCAGCCCAAAUGGCUCUUCACCACAAGUCAUGAGAUUUUACGACUUUCCAUUUGCUUAUAUAAACAUGUUUUGAGAAGUUCCACACCAUCACAGCUAUCCACAAAACUAGAGAACUACUCGAAAUUUCUCUUCAUCCUUUACUCAUCUUAAAUAAAAGAUCAUGGCUAUCCGUAUGCCUCGUAUUAUCAAGAAGUCUUCUACAACUGGAGAUGUUCCCAAGGGAUAUUUUGCUGUUUAUGUUGGGGAGAACUUCUGGGAAUUCUCUAACAACUGGCAUAGACGGAAGAGCUGGUGGUUCUGAUUCUGGAUUAAUGAUGUGAGCCAAAUAGGCAAGACACCCCUUACUGAUCAUUUGUUGUGCUUUAAGGUAAGAAAUAAACUUACCUACAAGCGAUGCUGAACUACCCUUCCACUCUAAGACUUCUUCAUUUGGAAAUUGAAACGUGACUAACUUGGCACGACAAUCUAAUAUGGCAUAGUAGGAAGAUAACCAAUCCAUACCUAUGAUCACAUCGAAAUCCACCAUUUCUAACUCUAUGAGAUCGGCCUCGGUGCUGCGACCUUGGACUGAAACUAUACAGCCUCUAUAGACUCUUGUGACUUUCACUAACUCGCCAAUUGGAGUAGAUACUAGGAAUGGCUUACUAAGUUGUUUAGGUUCUAGCCCGAGGUUAAUUGCAAAGUAUGGAGUCACAUAUGAAAAUGUUGAACCCAGAUUAAUUAUGGCAUAAGCAUUAUGUGAGCAGACUAAAAGUAUACCUAUAAUAACUUCUGCAAAUGCCUCUGCACUCUGACGAUCGAGUGUAGCAAACAAACGGGGUUAUCCCCCUCCUUGAGUAACUCGAUCUGUACCUCUGCCUGCCUCAUGCCCGGUCUGAUUAUGAGAACCACGAGCCUGAGGUGGUGCAACUGCAGUAGCUGAGGAACAAGAAGGACGAGUUGAUCCACCACUGAAAUUACGUCGCAACUUUGGGCAGUUGGCCUUUAUAUGACCAAUGUCUCCACAAUGUUAGCAACCAUGAAACCCAAGCUUGCACUGACCUGAAUGUUGCCGCUUACAUGUUCCACAAAGACCUUGUUGGUGUGAAUGUUGCUCAACAUGACUCAGUCUAUGUGAGGAUGAUGUCCUAAAAUUCUGAUUCUGGCGAGACUGGUUUCCAUAACUCUGAGUACAUCUGAAGGAAGACCCACCACCUGACUGAUGACUGGACUGAGCUGGUGCUAAUAACUCCUUAUUAGAGGAAUCCCUUCCACCUCUGCUGGAUGUACCAUUAAACCUUCCCGUUGUCCGGGCUUUCUUGUUAUGCUCAUUUUCUUCUCUCCUUUGUUGUCUGUCUUUUUCUAAGUGCUUGGCGAAUCCCACAACAGAGGAGAAGGUUGUCAUCCCUACCGCUGCAGCUGAUGUCGUAUCUUUAAUGUGGUAAGCCAAACCACCAACAAACCUGCGAAUCUUUGCUUUUUCUGUCUUAACCAUGUGAGGAGCAUGCUUAGCUAACCUUAUGAAUUCCAUAUAGUACUCUUGCACACUUUUAUUCCCUUGCUCGAGCUGUUCGAACUCUGUAGCCUUAGCUUCCCUAUCCUCUUCGGGAUAAAGUUAGCCAUGAAGGCCUCUUCAAAUUCUUCCCAAGUAGGCGGACCAUGGUAACUGAGCUCACUAUCUAUAGCUAUGUCUAGGAAAAAAAGGUCCUAGGAUCGUGCCCUCCUUUAAUGUCAAUUAUGAGGGUCAUUGAUGAAGAUGUAACGGUAAACAUAAAUGCCAAAUUAUCUGUAACGGACCGUCGCUCUUAAUGCUGCAGAAUAUUCCUUAGUAAAUGCUACCGGGCGCAGAGCAUUUAAUACACCUUUUUGAACGUUAUCCUUUCUGGUGAUAAGUAGAGUGACUGCGUUCGAUUCUUAGCUAUCCCAUCUUGGAUUUCACGUGUCCUCCUUUGCCGUGAGGGAAUUAAGAACAUGCAGAUGUUUAAAAUAUAACCAGUGUUUGCAAAAUAUUUGAAAAAUAGCCCGCUCAUUAAAUUUGCUAAAUUGGGUAAUUUUCUAAGCAUAUUUUCUAAUUUGGUAUGCCAUCUUGUCUGGUUCAAAUAAUUUUUCUAGCUUGAGGAAUCUAUGACUUUGUCUUUGCAUUUAACAAAUACAGCUUAAUUAACUUGUUAGUUAAUUUUUCAGCUAAUCUAGAAUUGAAAAAAUAAUAAUGUGCAGUCGAGAUCAUGAGUUGAAAAAUAAUUUGAAGUUGUAACUAACUUCAAAUUGAGUCUCUAUGUUUCCAUGUUAGGUUAUACUAACUUAGGAAUUAGAACAUUUGGUCUUAGGUUUUCAUAGAUACUUAGAAUGCUAAGUUUGGUAUAAGAAUUUAAGUCAAAUCAUUAUUCUAUUUAUGCAGUCUCUCUUGACAAACUUAAGCUAGCAUAUUAUUCUUGUGGAUUAGUAGCAGUGCAUUAUCAUAAAUGCACACCAGAUUAGAGAUAAGUUUCUAUAUUGUGAAGCAUUUAUUUACUUUCUGUGGCGAGCUUAGUCACCACAAAAUUGCUAAUAAUAGAACAAACUAGCUUUUGUGGUGACUAAGCUCGCCACAACAUAAAUUUUACGUAGGUCGCUACUCAAAACAGCUGACAUAUAGUUUGUCGCUGAAACUAUUACCAACACAACAUUAACUUUUUUUGGCGACUAAAGAGGUCGCUACAGUACGUUUAGGUUUCUACUCAAAACAACGACAUAUUGUUCGCCACUGAAACUAUCACGUAUUAUGGUGACUCGGCACUUACUUGUGGUGGCGACUAAAGAGGUUUGCCACAGAACGCCGUCGCUGAAACCCUUGUUUCCUGUCGUAUUUCUUAUCGGGUAAUGAAUCUGGAGAAAUAUUCUAGUUUUAUCCAAUUCUCAAUUAUUUCCAAUAGAAAUAGUCUAGCUUUGUCGCUAAUUUAACCAUUUUAUAAAUACUCAACUGCAGCACUAGUUGGAAGCAUAAGACUAGGUUUGGUCAAAAGAACCAACUUGUAUGUUGAGUCAUCGCUUUAGCACUAUAUAUGAUCAGAUUUUGUCUAAAUUUCUCAGGAUAUAUAUGCCGUCAUAGAUUCGAAAUUUCAUGAAUGAUGAUCAGUCAUUGGAAUGCUGACUAUUACUUGUUGAUUUAACAUCAAUAAAUGGUUCCACAUUUUCAAGUCUCAUGGUUUGCUAUCAAUCAAGUGAAAUACAACAAUAAGUCUUUUUUCUUGUGGCUCAACUGCAGUAUUUGAGAAGCAACAAAUCCAACUGAACAAUAAAAAUAGCUAGAUAAUGUGAUAAAAGCUACUGUGCUUGCCCCACAGUUUCCUAUUAACAUGCGAAGCUCAAAUGCAAAGAGCUUUGUUUUCCUAAAGAUAAUCCUGAAUCAGUAGUUAAUAAUGCGCAUAAGUUUUAAGAACAGAUUCAUGAAACCUGGUUCAGAUUCAUCUUCUUGAAAAUGGUUUAGUAUACCAAAUGCUUUGUUUCAUAAGUGGAUGCGCAUUGUUUCAUAAUCAACUUUUUUGAACACUAAGAUUUUCUAUUUAUUUUUCAGCUUGGACCAGAUUCAAGUUCAGACAUUUCUUCUCUUGGUUAUUAGUUCUGAGGUCCACACUUGCUCAGCAGUGGCACAACUUAAGUAGACACUGGUUGGUUUUGCUCUUAUUUGACCUUCUUAUUGAUAAAUGAAUCUGGAAAAAUAUUCUAACUUUAUCCAAUUCUCUAUUAUUUCAAGUUGUAAUAUGGCCAAAUUUUCAUGACAUUUGCCAUGACAUAAUAUCUAUUAUAACAAAUUUGUGGUUCAUGACAUUUGCCAUGACAUAAUAUCCAUUAUAACAAAUUUGUGGAUCAUGACAUUUGCCAUGACAUAAUAUCCAUUAUUAGGCCAAGGAUUUCUUGCUAUAAAUACAGGAGUUUCCCCUCAUUUGCAAACACACCAAUUCAAGAGAUUUUCACUCUUGUCUUUCUUUCUCCUCAUUUAUUUCAUUAUAGAUUAUUUUGUAAGAGAGUGAGUGUUGGAAAAUACUUGUGUGAAUCCUUUCUUUGGAGUGAUCUUGUGAGGUUAUUCUCUUGGGGUAUUUGGGAUUAAUUAGAGUAUUUACUUUAAUUUUGUACUAUCUUUUGUACUCUUGUUGGUAGAGUGAAAUUGCUUCUCUCCGCUUGUGGACGUAGGUCACCUUGACCGAACCACGUUAAAUUUGUGUCUUCUUUAUAUUCUUUAAUUGUUGUUAUUAUCAACUUCCAUUGUCUUUGUUAUUGUCAUUAUACCGUUGUUUGGCUAAAUUUCGCACUACCCGGGUUCCCGAUCCUAACAAAUUGGUAUCAGAGCCAGAUCUAACAUGGUUAGUUUAAAUAGCCAAAAUGACUCUAACAAAGUCUUAUGUUGAGAAAUUUGACCAAAGUGCAAACUUCGGAAUGUGGCAAUUAAAUAUGGAAGCUAUCCUAAUUCAGGAUGGCUUAGAUUUGGCACUGCAAGGAAAGGAGAAGAUNNN
RNAcentral lists this long non-coding RNA (4503 nucleotides) under Nicotiana tabacum (common tobacco). RNAcentral describes it as "long non-coding RNA (NTAB_LNC004031)". The record is from RNAcentral. Lineage: Eukaryota; Viridiplantae; Streptophyta; Magnoliopsida; Solanales; Solanaceae.